RNAcentral lists this ribosomal RNA (272 nucleotides) under uncultured bacterium. RNAcentral's name for it is "partial 16S ribosomal RNA". It matches the Rfam family "Bacterial small subunit ribosomal RNA", at positions 1220 to 1500 of the family's 1533-position model. The record is from RNAcentral.
ACGUGUUACAAUGGGGGGUACAGAGGGCCGCUACCACGCGAGUGGAUGCCAAUCCCAAAAACCUCUCUCAGUUCGGACUGGAGUCUGCAACCCGACUCCACGAAGCUGGAUUCGCUAGUAAUCGCGCAUCAGCCACGGCGCGGUGAAUACGUUCCCGGGCCUUGUACACACCGCCCGUCAAGCCAUGGGAGCCGGGGGUACCUGAAGUGCGUAACCGCGAGGAGCGCCCUAGGGUAAAACUGGUGACUGGGGCUAAGUCGUAACAAGGUAAC